RNAcentral lists this ribosomal RNA (382 nucleotides) under uncultured eukaryote. Its description in RNAcentral is "partial 18S ribosomal RNA". It matches the Rfam family "Eukaryotic small subunit ribosomal RNA", at positions 592 to 976 of the family's 1831-position model. The record is from RNAcentral.
CAAUAGCGUAUAUUUAAGUUGUUGCAGUUAAAAAGCUCGUAGUUGGAUUUCUGGUUGAAGCGACCGGUCGGGCGUUGAUUCGUCUGCACUGGAGUCGGUUUUGGCCAUCCUCUAGGAAAGUGCGUCUGGUAUUAAGUUAUCGGGCGUAUGAUCCUGGUCUUUUACUGUGAAAAAAUUAGAGUGUUUAAAGCAGGCCUUCGCCUUGAAUACAUUAGCAUGGAAUAAUAAGAUAGGACUUUGGUCUAUUUUGUUGGUUUGCAGACCGAAGUAAUGAUUAAUAGGGAUAGUUGGGGGUAUUUAUAUUCCGAUGUCAGAGGUGAAAUUCUUAGAUUUUCGGAAGAUAAACUUAUGCGAAAGCAUUUACCAAGGAUGUUUUCAUUAA